UAGAGUUUGAUCCGGCUCAGGAUGAACGCUAGCUACAGGCUUAACACAUGCAAGUCGAGGGGCAGCAUGAUCUUAGCUUGCUAAGAUUGAUGGCGACCGGCGCACGGGUGAGUAACACGUAUCCAACCUGCCGUCUACUUGGGGAUAGCCUUCUGAAAGGAAGAUUAAUACCCGAUGCGAUCUGUCGGCCGCAUGGCUGAUGGAUGAAAGAUUGAUUGGUAGACGAUGGGGAUGCGUUCCAUUAGGUUGUUGGCGGGGUAACGGCCCACCAAGCCGACGAUGGAUAGGGGUUCUGAGAGGAAGGUCCCCCACAUUGGAACUGAGACACGGUCCAAACUCCUACGGGAGGCAGCAGUGAGGAAUAUUGGUCAAUGGACGAGAGUCUGAACCAGCCAAGUAGCGUGAAGGAUGACUGCCCUAUGGGUUGUAAACUUCUUUUAUACGGGAAUAAAGUGCACCACGUGUGGUGUUUUGUAUGUACCGUUAUGAAUAAGCAUCGGCUAACUCCGUGCCAGCAGCCGCGGUAAUACGGAGGAUGCGAGCGUUAUCCGGAUUUAUUGGGUUUAAAGGGAGCGCAGACGGGUCUUUAAGUCAGUUGUGAAAGUCUGCGGCUCAACCGUAGAAUUGCAGUUGAAACUGGAGACCUUGAGUGCGGACGAGGAAGGCGGAAUUCGUGGUGUAGCGGUGAAAUGCUUAGAUAUCACGAAGAACUCCGAUUGCGAAGGCAGCCUUCCAGGCCGUAACUGACGUUCAUGCUCGAAAGUGCGGGUAUCAAACAGGAUUAGAUACCCUGGUAGUCCGCACGGUAAACGAUGAAUACUCGCUGUUGGCGAUAGACAGUCAGCGGCCACGCGAAAGCAUUAAGUAUUCCACCUGGGGAGUACGCCGGCAACGGUGAAACUCAAAGGAAUUGACGGGGGCCCGCACAAGCGGAGGAACAUGUGGUUUAAUUCGAUGAUACGCGAGGAACCUUACCCGGGCUUAAAUUGCAGCGGCAUGUAUUGGAAACAGUACAGUGAGCAAUCACCGCUGUGAAGGUGCUGCAUGGUUGUCGUCAGCUCGUGCCGUGAGGUGUCGGCUUAAGUGCCAUAACGAGCGCAACCCUUGCCGGUAGUUGCCAUCAGGUAAAGCCUGGGGACUCUUCCGGGACGGCCAUCGUAAGAUGUGAGGAAGGUGGGGAGGACGUCAAAUCAUCACGGCCCUAACGUCCGGGGAUACACACGUGUUACAGUGGGGGGUACAGCAGGCAGAUACCUGGUGACCGGAUGCAAAUCCCGAAAACCCCUCUCAGUUUGGAUUGGAGUUUGCAACCCGACUCCAUGAAGCCGGAUUAUCUAGUAAUCGCGCAUCAGCCACGGCGCGGUGAAUACGUUCCCGGACCUUGCACACACCGCCCGUCA
This 1400-nucleotide ribosomal RNA is filed under the name uncultured bacterium. RNAcentral describes it as "16S ribosomal RNA". It matches the Rfam family "Bacterial small subunit ribosomal RNA". The record is from RNAcentral.